UCGAGUAAAUAAAAUGUUUUAAAAACAUAAAAUAUUUAUUUUUAUAUUCACUUCUAUGAAUUAUUAAUAACAUAUUAACAUCUUGAAAGUUUCAAACUUAAAUCCUUCAAAGUGUUGCUCAGUAUUUCAAUGUUGAGUAUUCACUGUUCACUUGUAAAGACAAUAUCUAAAAUACUGGAUUAAAUCAAACUUACUAUUUAGUAAUAUGAUAUAAAAGUAAUCUUUAAACUAUGUCUUACAGUAAAAGAUUCUCAAUCGACGAUGCAUUUGAAGAUGAACCAAUUGAUGAUAUUAAAGUGUAUGUGUCUAGUUUAGGAGAUUCACCUCUACAAUCGCCUAGACAAACCAAGUUAACUAAUUACGGCGGCAUUGAAAAUGAUUCGAUUUCAAGAACAAAAAAAUUUGAAGAUACAUUAUCUCGAGACAGUGAUUCGUUAAUUUACAAUUCAACGGCGCAUUCUAACCAAAAGAACUGGUGUUGGCAUCAUCCUCAAGUACGAGAAAAUUGGCGUGUUGUAUUAGCUGCUGUAAUUUUACUCAUUAUUGGAAUCGUAUUAUUAUCAGUGGCUAUAAUUGUACAGUUGACUCCGAACACAGAUUAUCAUCCAAUAGUGUUUUUCAUUGCUGGCUUCAUAUGUUUUAUACCUGGAGCAUACCAUGUUGUAUAUAUAUAUUUAGCCGCUAGAGGACAUCCAGGUUACAGUUUCUAUAGUUUAUCAUUAUUCAACUGAAUUUGGUGAAUAAUUUAGUGAAAACCAAGUAAACACAUUAUGGCAAAUUACAUAUAUUUAUGAGUCAAAUAUUGUAUAGACAAUGUUACAACAAGUGGCAUAAAUACAGCAAAAUGCAUAAAUUCACUAUUCAGAGUACCUUAAAUGUAUGCUGAAUUUUAUGAACCCUUGAAUUUAAUCUAAUGUUGGGAUGUGCAUUCAUUUUGCCUCAUUUUUUUUCUUUUUGUAAUAGGAAGGAAGUUAACAUUAUUUAUAUGUUCUAUUCACACUUAAUUUUACUGUGGUUCUUUUUGUGUCAGCAACAUAUUUUCCAUAACAAUAUAUUUUGAAAGAACAUUAAAAAAAAAUUUUUUAUUUAAACAAAACAUGUCUACAACUAAACUGCACGGGACCAAAGUCUAAAUCUAAUAAAGUAAAAAGAUUGACAGUUAACUGUAUUGUCUGUAUUACUAAAACUAUGACCAACAUUAGUUUAUAUUAUCAACUAUAAUUUUUUUAUUUUAAAAAUGUAUAAGUCUUAUUAAAAUUUAUCAAGUAUAGAUUUAGAAGUAAAAAAUAAAAAAAUGAUCCAAUUAUUAUUAUUUAUUAUCAAUUUAUGGAAAUUAUACUAACUCUAAUGCUAUUUAAGUAUUUAACUGAACUAUUUGUAUAGAUAAAUGAUGUGUGAUAAAAUAGUGCUCUGUAUUUAAAUUAAUUAUAAAGUAUGUUAAAUUGUGUUACUUAUUAGAACAUUUAACUAGUCAUCCAAACUUAUAUUAUACUUUUGUUUUCAUUUUUUUUUUUUUUAUGUUUAAUAAAUAUCAUUUUAUACAGUUUA
This is an RNA transcript of Aphis gossypii (cotton aphid), 1548 nucleotides long. It is a transcript of the gene named transmembrane protein 134, with no coding region annotated. The record is from RefSeq and is a predicted model, not a curated record. Lineage: Eukaryota; Metazoa; Arthropoda; Insecta; Hemiptera; Aphididae. The transcript is spliced from 4 exons.